GCGAGAGUGGUGAAAUUGGUAGACACGCCAGAUUUAGGAUCUGGUGCCUUUGGCGUGGGGGUUCAAGUCCCUUCUCUCGCA
This 81-nucleotide transfer RNA is filed under the name Treponema sp. Its description in RNAcentral is "tRNA-Leu". It matches the Rfam family "tRNA". Rfam says of the family: Transfer RNA (tRNA) molecules are approximately 80 nucleotides in length. Their secondary structure includes four short double-helical elements and three loops (D, anti-codon, and T loops). Further hydrogen bonds mediate the characteristic L-shaped molecular structure. tRNAs have two regions of fundamental functional importance: the anti-codon, which is responsible for specific mRNA codon recognition, and the 3' end, to which the tRNAs corresponding amino acid is attached (by aminoacyl-tRNA synthetases). tRNAs cope with the degeneracy of the genetic code in two manners: having more than one tRNA (with a specific anti-codon) for a particular amino acid; and 'wobble' base-pairing, i.e. permitting non-standard base-pairing at the 3rd anti-codon position. The record is from RNAcentral. Lineage: Bacteria; Pseudomonadati; Spirochaetota; Spirochaetia; Treponematales; Treponemataceae.